Molecule: ribosomal RNA, 497 nt
Filed under: uncultured bacterium
Lineage: Bacteria
Description: partial 16S ribosomal RNA
Rfam family: Bacterial small subunit ribosomal RNA
Source: RNAcentral
GACGAACGCUGGCGGCGUGCCUAAUACAUGCAAGUUGAGCGCUGAAGGUUGGUACUUGUACCAACUGGAUGAGCAGCGAACGGGUGAGUAACGCGUGGGGAAUCUGCCUUUGAGCGGGGGACAACAUUUGGAAACGAAUGCUAAUACCGCAUAAAAACUUUAAACACAAGUUUUAAGUUUGAAAGAUGCAAUUGCAUCACUCAAAGAUGAUCCCGCGUUGUAUUAGCUAGUUGGUGAGGUAAAGGCUCACCAAGGCGAUGAUACAUAGCCGACCUGAGGGGGUGAUCGGCCACAUUGGGACUGAGACACGGCCCAAACUCCUACGGGAGGCAGCAGUAGGGAAUCUUCGGCAAUGGACGAAAGUCUGACCGGGCAACGCCGCGUGAGUGAAGAAGGUUUUCGGAUCGUAAAACUCUGUUGGUAGAGAAGAACGUUGGUGAGAGUGGAAAGCUCAUCAAGUGACGGUAACUACCCAGAAAGGGACGGCUAACUACGUG